GUCGUUUUUCUGCUUCUUCGAUGUAGCCACCUUUCUCUCUUACAAAAUCAAAAUACAAUAAACGGAGAGGGGGACCGCAGCCUUAACAGCCAAUUUCUAGGGUUUCUCCGGUAGAUUGAAGGUUAUUAUGUAUAGAACGGCAGCUUCGCGACUUGGAGCUCUCAAGAGCCCUGUUGGCAUUUUGGGGGCUACGCGAUAUGCAACUUCAAGUGCAGUUGCUUCUAGGACAUCCUCACCGGUGUUCUUUAGCUGGCUGACUGGGGAACAUUCUGCUUCUCUUCCUCCUUUGGAUUCCCCAAUUCCUGGUGUUUCCCUUCCACCUCUUCUGCCAGAUUACGUUGAACCAAGCAAGGUUAAGUCAAAGACUCUUGAAAAUGGUGUCAGGAUUGUCUCAGAAGCAUCACCGAAUCCCGCAGCCUCCAUAGGGUUUUAUCUUGAUUGUGGUUCUAUCUAUGAGACACCCAUGUCACGUGGGGCCACACACUUGCUUGAACGGAUGGCAUUCAAGAGCACUAGGAACAGGAGCCACUUGCGCAUUGUUAGGGAAGUGGAGGCAAUUGGGGGUAGUGUUGCUGCUUCAGCCUCUCGGGAGCAAAUGGCUUACACUUUUGAUGCUCUUAAGAGUCAUGUUCCUGAAAUGGUAGAAUUGCUUGUUGACUCUGUGAGAAAUCCUGUCUUCUUGGAUUGGGAAGUCAGUGAAGAGCUCAAGAAGAUUAAAGAUGAACUCGGACAACUCUCUAACAAUCCACAAGGCUUACUGCUGGAGGCAAUACACUCUACUGGGUAUAGCGGUGCAUUGGCGAAUCCUCUUUUGGCUCCUGAAUCAGCACUAAAUCGAUUAGAUGGUGUUAUUUUGGAGGAAUUUGUAUCUGUAAGAACAAAUAAUCCUUGAAUAGUGUGUCCAGGCUACAGAUAUCUUAAUUUAUGCAUUCAAAUUACCAUUAUUAUUGGAUCUAUAUUCUUUCAUCGAUUCUGUUAUUUUUCUCUUACCUCUAUUUUGCUUUUCCUUUAACUGGAUGAUUUUGUAAAUGAAUUUUAGGAGCACUAUACAGCUCCUCGAAUGGUUCUUGCAGCUUCUGGUGUUGAAUUUGAGGAGCUUAUAUCUGUUGCAGAGCCACUGCUUUCUGACCUCCCACGUGUGCAACGUCCUGAAGGGCCAAAAUCUGUGUAUGUUGGUGGGGAUUAUCGUCGCCAAGCUGAUUCAUCGAUGACACAUGUUGCUCUUGCUUUUGAAGUUCCUGGAGGCUGGCAUGAUGAGAAAGAAGCUAUAAUUUUGACUGUUCUUCAGAUGCUUAUGGGAGGUGGUGGGUCAUUCUCCGCAGGGGGCCCUGGAAAAGGGAUGCACUCACGACUGUAUCUCCGAGUCUUGAAUGAGUAUCAACAACUCCAAUCUUUUUCUGCAUUCAACAGUAUCUUCAAUAAGACUGGAUUGUUUGGCAUCCAUGCCAGCACUACCCCAGACUUUGUGCCAAAAGCAGUUGACAUAGCAGUUGGAGAACUAAUUGCAAUUGCAGCACCUGGACAAGGUUCCUUUGCAUCUCUUCACAUUGUUGUGGUUUGAUGAGCUACUUCUGAAGCAACCACCAAGUUGGUGUUAGAGCUCCAUUUCUUAUCAUUUUCGCUUUUUAAUUUUCUGGUGGCAGUUUCCAAGUUACAACUUGAUCGUGCCAAAGAGUCUACAAAAUCUGCUGUGCUGAUGAAUUUGGAAUCUCGAGUAUGUCUCUUUCUUUCUUGAGUUUUACUGAUCUUAUUGCUUGGUGUAUUUGUUGCAUUUGGGCCAAUGCAUUUCUAACUCCUAGAUGAUAGUGGAGUAUUUUUUGAGUUCCUGUGCAUGUACUUCCCAUAGUGGAUGUAACAUUAUUGAAGUAUAUCUACUUCCCCAAUUUUUUAGUUUGUCUUGGUUUCUUUUGUUUGUUGAGGGCUCUUAUAAUUGUUUCAUGACUGCAUUCUGUAGAUGAUUGUGACAGAAGAUUUAGGAAGGCAGUUUUUGACCUACGGAGAAAGGAAGCCUGUUGAACAUUUCUUGAAGGCCUUGGAUGAAAUCACUACCAAGGACAUUACUAACAUUGCACAAAAGAUUCUUUCUUCACCUCUAACAAUGGCGUCUUAUGGAGAUGUUGUUAACGUCCCCAGCUACGAGUAUGUUAGCAGCAAGUUCCAUGCAUAAAUUGACCAAUGAUGGUACAUUGCAAUUUGGCCUUCACUUUGCUAUCAUCAUCGGAUCCUGUGCUCAAAUCAAGCGAUUUCCUUUUCUUGCAUGCUGUCGAAAUAAAAAUGAUUCGGGAAGAAGGUUUUCUGUAGAUGAAAGGAAAUAGGACCCUUCCAAUUCUUUUGGAUUUGACUGAUCAUUUAUUCCAAACCUGGAAGGCUAAGGAGUUUUUGUUUAUGAAUAUCAUCAUAAGAAUUUUGGAAUUUUGCUUGUUCAUGUCAAUGUUACUCCCAAGGAAAAAUGAAAUCCAGCAAUGUGUUCAAUUUGAACUCUCUUCCAGCUCUGUUAUGGGACGUUUAUUUAUCAUUAGCAAAUGAAACCUUACAUCGAC
This 2540-nucleotide unclassified non-coding RNA is filed under the name Hevea brasiliensis (rubber tree). The record is from RNAcentral. Lineage: Eukaryota; Viridiplantae; Streptophyta; Magnoliopsida; Malpighiales; Euphorbiaceae.